AUACUUAUCUGGCGUAGGGGAUACCGUGAGCAUGCAGGCGGUUCCCCCAGGGCGAGGCUGCUCCAUUGCACUGCGGAGUGGUUGACCCUUGCGAUUUUUUUUUAUUUUUAUUAAUAAAAAAUAUAUACCCGAACAAUUAUUUUCUUUAUACCUCGAAUAGAACUUAAAAUUAAUAUUUUUAUAAUAAGGAACUUCGUUCCUA
Molecule: small nuclear RNA, 202 nt
Filed under: Bombyx mori (domestic silkworm)
Lineage: Eukaryota; Metazoa; Arthropoda; Insecta; Lepidoptera; Bombycidae
Description: U1 spliceosomal RNA
Rfam family: U1 spliceosomal RNA
About the family: U1 is a small nuclear RNA (snRNA) component of the spliceosome (involved in pre-mRNA splicing).
Source: Rfam by way of RNAcentral